This 74-nucleotide transfer RNA is filed under the name Candidatus Saccharimonadota bacterium. RNAcentral describes it as "tRNA-Cys". It matches the Rfam family "tRNA". From Rfam's summary of the family: Transfer RNA (tRNA) molecules are approximately 80 nucleotides in length. The record is from RNAcentral. RNAcentral also lists the same sequence under 1 other name. Lineage: Bacteria; Candidatus Saccharimonadota.
GGCGCGUUGGCGGAGCGGUUACGCAGAGGUCUGCAAAACCUUGUAGGCGGGUUCGACUCCCGCACGUGCCUCCA